This 497-nucleotide ribosomal RNA is filed under the name uncultured bacterium. Its description in RNAcentral is "partial 16S ribosomal RNA". It matches the Rfam family "Bacterial small subunit ribosomal RNA", at positions 28 to 507 of the family's 1533-position model. The record is from RNAcentral.
GAUGAACGCUGGCGGCGUGCCUAAUACAUGCCAGUCGAGCGAACAGACGAGGAGCUUGCUCCUCUGACGUUAGCGGCGGACGGGUGAGUAACACGUGGAUAACCUACCUAUAAGACUGGGAUAACUUCGGGAAACCGGAGCUAAUACCGGAUAAUAUAUUGAACCGCAUGGUUCAAUAGUGAAAGACGGUUUUCCUGUCACUUAUAGAUGGAUCCGCGCCGCAUUAGCUAGUUGGUAAGGUAACGGCUUACCAAGGCGACGAUGCGUAGCCGACCUGAGAGGGUGAUCGGCCACACUGGAACUGAGACACGGUCCAGACUCCUACGGGAGGCAGCAGUAGGGAAUCUUCCGCAAUGGGCGAAAGCCUGACGGAGCAACGCCGCGUGAGUGAUGAAGGUCUUCGGAUCGUAAAACUCUGUUAUUAGGGAAGAACAAAUGUGUAAGUAACUAUGCACGUCUUGACGGUACCUAAUCAGAAAGCCACGGCUAACUACGUG